AUUACAUCUAGUUUAAAGUUCAAAAAGUUUAUUCUAGGAGAAGCAAACUUUUUUUCAUGAAGAGCUCAUGAUUUCCAUGAAAAAAAAAGCAAGAGGAACAAGCCAAUAGUUUAUAGUUUAUAGUUUGGUCUAAAAAAAAGCAUGAAGGCCUUAUAGUUUAUAAGGAACAAGCCAAUAGCUCCUUAUAAACUAUAAGGCCUCAAAGACUCUAUUUUUAGACCAAGACCAGAUCUGUAUAGGGAGAUUUACGUGCCUUGAAAAUUAUGUUUUACAGACCUAAUGACCAUAAGAAGGGUAAGUUGAACAAGGUUAGAAUUGUACAGCAUUACAUAAAAGGAGUUAUAAUUUUCUUGGAUUCUUUUUGGGUUAACCAAAUAGGAUAUGUAUUGGACCUUAUUUCUUAUCCUUUUUUGCCUUUUCAGCUUUCUUCUCAGGUUUUGAUAAAAGUCCUCUUAGGUAAGAGCCUUGAUUUCUUACGGAGUUGAUGAUCUAGAACAGGAAAGGGGAUAAAAAAAUAAAUCUUUGAAGAAGGCUGAUUGGUAUGCCUAAUGUACUUCCAACAAUGAAGAGAGACUGAUUUUCCUUUAAAGAAGCAUGAUUAUGUCAUAUUACUUGACAUCAUGAGGCAUGAGUGCUCAAGGCAUGUUUUGAAGUAUUGCAUGCAUAUUUAUCAAUCAAAGCCAGAUAUGAAAAAAGCUUGUGGAAUAAAUUAUUUCACUACUAGCAUGCUUAGAACUUCAAUUGCAUUAUCUCAUGGUGACUUGUGAAUAAGCAUCCGUUGGCAUUCCAUGUAUCUUAGAGAACAUUUUUAUGGGAAAUUAGUACUCUUUUAAAGGUAUUUUUUAGUUUAAGUGAACAUAGAAUGAACCUAUCUCGAAUUGUUUUGCAAUAGCUCAAACCUUGCAUUCAUAGGAUGCUUGUGGAAUUUGCAGCAAUCUCCUCGACCACUUUACUAGAAUUUCAGUACAUAUGUAUACACCAGGAAUAUUGAAACGUGUUCAAAGGCCUCAAAGAGUAUGUUUUUAGACCAAGACCAGAUAUGUAAAGGGAGAUUUAAGUGCCUUGAAAACUAUGUUUUACAGACCUAAUGACCAUAAGAAGGCUUUCUAUGAGACUAUCACCUCUUCCCAUAUUGGAAAGGAUGCUGGAUGAAUUGUUAUAUUAGGCAUUAGAAGGUCACCAUUAAAAGGCUGAAGUUAACGACCAAAUUUAUGUGUGAAGGGAAGAAAGGUAAUGUGCGUGGAGCUGGUUUUCUUAACAUUUGUGGCAAAUGCAUGCAUUGAGAUGAAAUUAAUUAAUUUCUGUGCAAGUUAAGGGAAUCUAAUUGUUGGUGAUUUUCUUUUUAAUCAGACUCAAAGACUCUGUUUCUAGACCAAGACCAGAUCUGUAAAGGGAGAUUUAAGUGCCUUGAAAAUUAUGUUUUACAGACCUAAUGACCAUAAGAAGGGUAAGUUGAACAAGGUUAGAAUUGUUCAACUAUAAUAUAGGAUUCGUAAUCUGCUAAUAUUCCUGGCCUUGAAAAUUAGAUAGUCAUUUUCCGCUAUAAUAUAGGAUUCGUAAUCAAGAGUGAGUAAAUGUAAAGGCAAUGUAUUUGAGUACUUGGUUGUAAACAUUAUUCUCUUGAUUGUAAAUAUUCUGUACUUGAGAAUGAAUAAGCAGUUUCAGUUUUGCAUUUUA
This is a long non-coding RNA of Carya illinoinensis, 1677 nucleotides long. RefSeq lists it as uncharacterized. The transcript is spliced from 2 exons. The record is from RefSeq and is a predicted model, not a curated record. Lineage: Eukaryota; Viridiplantae; Streptophyta; Magnoliopsida; Fagales; Juglandaceae.